Molecule: ribosomal RNA, 253 nt
Filed under: uncultured bacterium
Lineage: Bacteria
Description: partial 16S ribosomal RNA
Rfam family: Bacterial small subunit ribosomal RNA
Source: RNAcentral
UACGGGGGGGGCAAGCGUUGUUCGGAAUUACUGGGCGUAAAGGGCUCGUAGGCGGCCAACUAAGUCAGACGUGAAAUCCCUCGGCUUAACCGGGGAACUGCAUCUGAUACUGGAUGGCUUGAGUUCGGGAGAGGGAUGUGGAAUUCCAGGUGUAGCGGAGAAAUGCGUAGAUAUCUGGAGGAACACCGGUGGCGAAGGCGGCAUCCUGGACCGACACUGACGCUGAGGAGCGAAAGCCAGGGGAGCAAACGGG